AUGAACAACAGUUACGAUGUCAAACCCAGUGACGAUGCCGCCGUCACGACAGUGCCGCAUCAGCGUAUGCACGAGUCGGAGCCGGGAAAGGUCACCGAGAACACUUCCCUGUCUCCCAACAACAAUCAGACCUACUUCGCCGACGAGAGGGUGCCGGUGCCAGAAACAGGACACACGGGGUUUAGCUUUAGGAAACUAUGGGCUUUCACGGGGCCUGGCUUUUUAAUGUCCAUAGCUUAUCUGGAUCCUGGCAACAUAGAAUCGGAUCUACAAUCCGGAGUGGUGGCAAGAUACAAGUUAUUAUGGGUACUACUAAGCGCUACUGUCCUAGGUCUCGUUAUGCAAAGACUCAGCGCGCGCCUCGGCGUAGUUACCGGUCUACAUCUGGCAGAGAUGUGUUACAGACAAUACAAAAAAGUACCUAGAUUUAUUUUAUGGAUAAUGAUUGAAAUAGCGAUUAUUGGUAGUGAUAUGCAAGAGGUAAUAGGAACGGCUAUUGCCCUUUACCUCUUAUCUAACAAAGCGAUUCCUAUAUGGGGUGGCGUACUAAUCACAGUAGUCGAUACAUUCACAUUUUUAUUCCUAGACAAAUACGGAUUGAGGAAACUGGAGUUUUUCUUUGGUUUUCUCAUCAUGAUCAUGGCUGUUACCUUCGGUUACGAGUAUGUCGUUUCCGAGCCCUCUCAAAUAGAUGUUAUAAGCGGUAUGUUUGUUCCAUGGUACAAUGGAAUGAAUUACGAUAACAAGGUACUGCUUCAAGCGGUGGGAAUCGUCGGCGCGGUUAUUAUGCCGCAUAACUUGUACCUUCAUAGUGCCUUGGUCAAAUCCAGAGACAUUGAUCGAAGACAGCCUGCAAAGAUCAAAGAUGCCAACAUGUAUUACUUCAUUGAGGCCUGCAUCGCACUAUUCGUUUCAUUUCUAAUCAACGUCUUUGUCGUAGCUGUAUUUGCUCAUGGUCUGUUCGACAAGACGAAUGACGAUGUUUAUAAACUUUGCGAAGCAAAUAAUUAUACUCUCGGCAUGGAAACUUUUGUUCAAAACAAUGCGACAUUCAGUGCUGAUCUUUACAAGGGUGGAGUCUUCCUCGGUUGUUCCUUCGGCGCAGCCGCAAUGUACAUAUGGGCCGUUGGUAUUUUAGCCGCCGGACAAUCGUCCACGAUGACGGGCACUUACGCCGGUCAAUUCGCGAUGGAAGGAUUCUUAAAUCUGCAGUGGGCACGAUGGAAACGAGUUCUCUUCACUCGAACAAUCGCUAUAGUUCCUACGUUCUUAGUAGCGUUCUUCGCCGACAUGAACAAUUUGAGCAGCAUGAAUGAUAUUUUAAACGCUAUAAUGAGCUUGCAAUUACCGUUCGCCACCCUGCCGACAAUUGCCUUCACCAGCAGUGCUCAAAUCAUGGGUGAAUUCCGAAACGGAAUACUGAAUAAGAUCGUGUCGACCGCUUUAUCGGUCCUAGUGAUAGUGAUAAACAUAUAUUUCGUGGCACAAACUGUCCAAGAAGACCUGCCCAACAAUUGGGCUAUCUACUUAGCCAUGUCUGUGUAUGCGAUUUUGUAUCUUAUUUUUUGCGCUUACUUGGCUAUCCACAUGGCUGUGAGUAUGGGUGCAACUUCCCUCGGCAAUAAUUGGUUCGUUACUAAGUACAUUGGUACGCCCGUAAGUCCGACCCUAGGUAUAUCAAAUCCUGCCGUUUACGCCAGUUUCCACAAUACGUCGGAAACCUCGUUAAACGCUUAGUCGGAGUAAUGCAAUUGAAUGUGCAAUUGAGACGUACAAUAUGUGGCCUUUGUGUUCCACGAACACGUGAAAACAAUGUCGUGUCGGAAAGGUGCUUAUAUCAUCUCGUGAUGUCAGCAUGGUGCCUCAUGAACAAAUCCAGCGUUUACUAUACAAGAAAGCGGCAGUUUUACAUCUAUACCAGAAUGGUAACAUCUUCACAAGUAUAUCAGCAUCGGAUAUGUAAACGAUGUGUACUAUGGGGAUAGAAAAAGUCUGUUUUCAAUUGCACAAUUGAAUAAGAGGUAAUAAUGCCUAGUGCAUCGCAUUGACAUCCCAUCGUUAAAUUUAUUAGUAUCAUGAUUUUUUUAAUUUUUCAUUAUAUGAUGGCUGGAUAAUUCAAAUGUUAAUUCGCGCAUAAAAAACAACAUAUAUUGAUAUAAUAUUACAUAUUCAGCAAUCUUUCUUUCAUUUAAGUAUUUUCUAUAACGAUAUAUAUAUCUUUUAAAUAUUAUUAACAUAUUUAUAAUACCUAGAUUCGUUUUGCAAAUUAUGUAUGUGCAUAAUAAUGUCGGGUCU
Temnothorax curvispinosus is the source of this 2295-nucleotide RNA transcript. It is a transcript of the gene named protein Malvolio, with no coding region annotated. NCBI's taxonomy places the organism in Eukaryota, Metazoa, Arthropoda, Insecta, Hymenoptera, Formicidae. The record is from RefSeq and is a predicted model, not a curated record. The transcript has 12 exons.